AAUUGUUUGUCGCCCUACGCGAUGGUUACGCCAUUGGCGACGAAGGUUGUGGGGCUUGAGAAUGAAGCGUUUGAGACGGCAUUGAGUAUGGCUGGGAACCUUAAAGGAGCGAUAUUAAGGGUGGAUGAUGUUGCAAAAGCAGCACUGUUCUUGGCAAGUGAUGAUGCUAAGUAUAUCAGUGUAACACAAAGGAAGAUUUCGAACGGGUGCUCAGUAUAAACGUGACUGGAGUUUUCUUGUGCAUGAAGCAUGCCGCUCGUGUCAUGGUCCCGGCACGUAGCGGUUGCAUCAUCUCCACCGCCAGUGUAAGUUCCAGCGUUGGAGCUGCAGCGUCACAUGCAUACUGCAGCUCCAAACACGCUGUGUUGGGGCUCACAAAGAACCUGGCGGUGGAGUUGGGACAAUUUGGUAUACGUGUGAAUUGUUUGUCGCCCUACGCGAUGGUUACGCCAUUGGCGACGAAGGUUGUGGGGCUUGAGAAUGAAGCGUUUGAGACGGCAUUGAGUAUGGCUGGGAACCUUAAAGGAGCGAUAUUAAGGGUGGAUGAUGUUGCAAAAGCAGCACUGUUCUUGGCAAGUGAUGAUGCUAAGUAUAUCAGUGGGCACAAUUUAUUCAUUGAUGGGGGAUUCACUGUGUAUAAUCCAUCACUAGGCAUGUUCAAAUAUCCAGAAUCAUGAUAUAGAGGAUUUGAAGUUUUUUCUUGAAAUAAUUUUACAUAGCUGCUGCUAAUUUAAUUAUUAAGGGAAUACACACUUUUGAUUUAAGAAAUCAAAGUUCUUUUGUGGCUCAUUUUUUUAACUAAGAAAUCCUUAAGGGUUGUGGCGCAAGAUACGAACUUGAUGGACCGUCUAUCCUUUUUCACUUAAAUAUUAUGCUUUUGUCCAUAGGAAGUUUCCAAAUCGUGAUGUGAGCCUAACCUCAUCAUACGUUAUGCUGUUACAACUAAACCAAAAUCAUGUGGAUUUAUUUGUCUCAUUAUGAUAUGAAUUUUAUGAAAACUUAAGAGCCUUUUAAUAUAUUUUGGCUUAGCCAUACAAUUCAUUGAGCGGCCCUGACUGUUAUUUGAU
Molecule: long non-coding RNA, 1067 nt
Filed under: Nicotiana benthamiana
Lineage: Eukaryota; Viridiplantae; Streptophyta; Magnoliopsida; Solanales; Solanaceae
Description: long non-coding RNA (NBEN_LNC004271)
Source: RNAcentral